This 83-nucleotide microRNA precursor is filed under the name Chelydra serpentina (North American snapping turtle). RNAcentral's name for it is "mir-460b". It matches the Rfam family "mir-460 microRNA precursor family". Lineage: Eukaryota; Metazoa; Chordata; Testudines; Chelydridae. The record is from RNAcentral.
UGGCUCUAUGUUGUCCUCAUUGUACAUGCUGUGUGUAUUUGUAUUACAUGCACAGCGCAUGCAAUGUGGACGUAAUGGAGAUC